AACGCUGGCGGCGUGCUUAACACAUGCAAGUCGAGCGGAGAAUAUAAGUUGAGAGCUUCGGCAGGAUUCUUAAUAAUCUUAGCGGCGGACGGGUGAGUAACGUGUGGGCAACCUGCCCUGUACUGUGGAAUAAUCACUGGAAACGGUGACUAAUACCGCAUGUCAUCACGAGGAGGCAUCUCCUUGUGAGAAAAGGAUUUAUUCGGUACAGGAUGGGCCCGCAUCUGAUUAGCUAGUUGGUGAGAUAACAGCCCACCAAGGCAACGAUCAGUAGCCGACCUGAGAGGGUGAUCGGCCACAUUGGGACUGAGACACGGCCCAAACUCCUACGGGAGGCAGCAGUGGGGAAUAUUGCACAAUGGGCGAAAGCCUGAAUGCAGCAACGCCGCGUGAAGGAUGAAGGGUUUCGGCUCGUAAACUUCUAUCAAUAGGGACGAAAAAAUGACGGUACCUAAAUAAGAAGCCCGGCUAACUACGUGCCAGCAGCAGC
This 490-nucleotide ribosomal RNA is filed under the name uncultured bacterium. RNAcentral describes it as "bacterial SSU rRNA". It matches the Rfam family "Bacterial small subunit ribosomal RNA", at positions 32 to 518 of the family's 1533-position model. The record is from RNAcentral.